Molecule: ribosomal RNA, 426 nt
Filed under: uncultured archaeon
Lineage: Archaea
Description: bacterial SSU rRNA
Rfam family: Archaeal small subunit ribosomal RNA
Source: RNAcentral
UACCAGCUCUCCGAGUGGUAGGGAUGAUUAUUGGGCUUAAAGCGUCCGUAGCCGGCUUAGCAAGUCUCCUGUUAAAUUCAGCGACCUAAUCGUUGAGCCGCGGGAGAUACUACUAGGCUAGGAGGCGGGAGAGGUCAACGGUACUUCCGGGGUAGGGUGAAAUCCUAUAAUCCCGGGAGGACCACCAGUGGCGAAGGCUGUUGACUAGAACGCGCUCGACGGUGAGGGACGAAAGCUGGGGGAGCGAACCGGAUUAGAUACCCGGGUAGUCCCAGCUGUAAACGAUGCGGGCUAGGUGUUGGGGUGGCUACGAGCCACUUCAGUGCCGCAGGGAAGCCAUUAAGCCCGCCGCCCGGGGAGUACGGCCGCAAGGCUGAAACUUAAGGAAUUGGCGGGGAGCACCACAAGGCGUGAAGCUUGCGGUUC